Molecule: ribozyme, 292 nt
Organism: Cricetulus griseus (Chinese hamster)
Lineage: Eukaryota; Metazoa; Chordata; Mammalia; Rodentia; Cricetidae
Rfam family: Nuclear RNase P
About the family: Ribonuclease P (RNase P) is a ubiquitous endoribonuclease, found in archaea, bacteria and eukarya as well as chloroplasts and mitochondria.
Source: Ensembl
GGCAGAGGAAGCUCAUCAGUGGGUCAACGUGCUGAGUGAUUCUCACUACCUGUCCCUGGGAAGGUCUGAUACUGGGGACUCCUGUGGCCCUAACAGGGCCCUCCCUGAAUGGGGAGGUGAGUUCCCAGAGAGCAGGGCUCUGUGUGUGGUCAGACUGAACAGGAUAGGUGCCAAGUGGGAGGAUACCUCCCUCACCAGAGCUUGGAACAGACUCACACAUGACUGAGAAACAAUAAGUGUUUGUGCUGAAAACUGGAUUUUGGAACUCUGAAAGAAUGCUGUUUUUAAUGAC